Molecule: ribosomal RNA, 253 nt
Filed under: uncultured bacterium
Lineage: Bacteria
Description: partial 16S ribosomal RNA
Rfam family: Bacterial small subunit ribosomal RNA
Source: RNAcentral
UACGUAGGUGGCAAGCGUUGUCCGGAUUUACUGGGCGUAAAGAGCGCGCAGGCGGUCGUACAAGUCGCGUGUGAAAGCCCCCGGCUCAACUGGGGAGGGUCACGCGAUACUGUUCGACUCGAAGGCAGGAGAGGGAAGCGGAAUUCCCGGUGUAGUGGUGAAAUGCGUAGAUAUCUGGAGGAACACCGGUGGCGAAGGCGGCGUUCUGGACUGCAACUGACACUGAGGAACGAAAGCCAGGGGAGCAAACGGG